CGGACGGGUGAGUAACGCGUGGAAAACCUGCCGUAUACUGGGGGAUAACACUUAGAAAUAGGUGCUAAUACCGCAUAAGCGCACAGCUUCGCAUGAAGUGGUGUGAAAAACUCCGGUGGUAUACGAUGGUUCCGCGUCUGAUUAGCUUGUUGGUGGGGUAAUGGCUCACCAAGGCGACGAUCAGUAGCCGGCCUGAGAGGGUGAACGGCCACAUUGGGACUGAGACACGGCCCAAACCCCUACGGAAGGCAGCAG
This 255-nucleotide ribosomal RNA is filed under the name uncultured bacterium. RNAcentral describes it as "partial 16S ribosomal RNA". It matches the Rfam family "Bacterial small subunit ribosomal RNA", at positions 99 to 354 of the family's 1533-position model. The record is from RNAcentral.